AUGAACGCUGGCGGCGUGCCUAAUACAUGCCCGUCGAGCGAACAGACGAGGAGCUUGCUCCUCUGACGUUAGCGGCGGACGGGUGAGUAACACGUGGAUAACCUACCUAUAAGACUGGGAUAACUUCGGGAAACCGGAGCUAAUACCGGAUAAUAUAUUGAACCGCAUGGUUCAAUAGUGAAAGACGGUUUUGCUGUCACUUAUAGAUGGAUCCGCGCCGCAUUAGCUAGUUGGUAAGGUAACGGCUUACCAAGGCAACGAUGCGUAGCCGACCUGAGAGGGUGAUCGGCCACACUGGAACUGAGACACGGUCCAGACUCCUACGGGAGGCAGCAGUAGGGAAUCUUCCGCAAUGGGCGAAAGCCUGACGGAGCAACGCCGCGUGAGUGAUGAAGGUCUUCGGAUCGUAAAACUCUGUUAUUAGGGAAGAACAAAUGUGUAAGUAACUAUGCACGUCUUGACGGUGCCUAAUCAGAAAGCCACGGCUAACUACGUG
This 496-nucleotide ribosomal RNA is filed under the name uncultured bacterium. RNAcentral's name for it is "partial 16S ribosomal RNA". It matches the Rfam family "Bacterial small subunit ribosomal RNA", at positions 29 to 507 of the family's 1533-position model. The record is from RNAcentral.